AUUGAACGCUGGCGGCAGGCCUAACACAUGCAAGUCGAACGGUAACAGGAAGCAGCUUGCUGCUUCGCUGACGAGUGGCGGACGGGUGAGUAAUGUCUGGGAAACUGCCUGGUGGAGGGGGAUAACUACUGGAAACGGUAGCUAAUACCGCAUAACGUCGCAAGACCAAAGAGGGGGACCUUAGGGCCUCUUGCCAUCGGAUGUGCCCAGAUGGGAUUAGCUAGUAGGUGGGGUAACGGCUCACCUAGGCGACGAUCCCUAGCUGGUCUGAGAGGAUGACCAGCCACACUGGAACUGAGACACGGUCCAGACUCCUACGGGAGGCAGCAGUGGGGAAUAUUGCACAAUGGGCGCAAGCCUGAUGCAGCCAUGCCGCGUGUAUGAAGAAGGCCUUCGGGUUGUAAAGUACUUUCAGCGGGGAGGAAGGGAGUAAAGUUAAUACCUUUGCUCAUUGACGUUACCCGCAGAAGAAGCACCGGCUAACUCCGUG
RNAcentral lists this ribosomal RNA (490 nucleotides) under uncultured bacterium. RNAcentral's name for it is "partial 16S ribosomal RNA". It matches the Rfam family "Bacterial small subunit ribosomal RNA", at positions 30 to 507 of the family's 1533-position model. The record is from RNAcentral.